This 253-nucleotide ribosomal RNA is filed under the name uncultured bacterium. RNAcentral describes it as "partial 16S ribosomal RNA". It matches the Rfam family "Bacterial small subunit ribosomal RNA", at positions 524 to 776 of the family's 1533-position model. The record is from RNAcentral.
UACAUGGGGUGCAAACGUUGCUCGGAAUUAUUGGGCGUAAAGCGCGCGUAGGCGGUUACUUAAGUCGGAUGUGAAAGCCCUCGGCUUAACUGAGGAAGUGCACCCGAAACUGAGUAGCUGGAGUACGAAAGAGGGUCGCGGAAUUCCCGGUGUAGUGGUGGAAUGCGUAGAUAUCGGGAGGAACACCAGUGGCGAAGGCGGCUUCCUGGACCAGAGCUGACACUGAGGCGCGAAAGCGUGGGGAGCGAUCCGG